Cydia strobilella is the source of this 1604-nucleotide long non-coding RNA. RefSeq lists it as uncharacterized. The transcript is spliced from 2 exons. NCBI's taxonomy places the organism in Eukaryota, Metazoa, Arthropoda, Insecta, Lepidoptera, Tortricidae. The record is from RefSeq and is a predicted model, not a curated record.
CCUUUAACCCUUAAAUGCAUAAUGAUGUAUAUAUGCAUCGUAUAUUUGAUGGUCCGUGGCUCAAUAUGCAGCUAUCCAAAAUCACAUUUAUUACUUUUAUUUAAUAAAUGUGACGUUUACGUGUUAGAUUCUGAACGCACCCAUAAACUUUUGAUAGUUUUUUUUUCUGUAGUGUCAUAUUUUCAAUCUUUGGCGCGUAAGUUGCUACACUGGUUGCCGCGAAAUUUACAAGUUCAAAAUUUAUUGAUAAAUAUUAAUAAGAACUGCAAGUAAAAUUUAUUUCUGAAAAGGAUAAAAGGUAAGUGUAAUGUAUAUUAUUAACAGGUUUGAUAAUAAUAGUAUAGUUUUCCGAAAAUUUGUGUUUUAUAUGUGAUGCGUAAAUACAUCACCAUGCAAAAUCGGUUGUAUUAGAAUUUACUUUAUUGUUUCGUUCUUUGUAUAGUCAUUGAAAAGUUUUAGAAUAAUUUUCUUAUAAAUUGGCAUCCGUGGCCAUAAAGUAAAAAGUCCCUUUAAAGUACAUAUAGUAUAAUAUUAAAUUUAUACUAAAAGUUUCAUAGUGGAAUUACAAUUAGGUACCUACUUAGGAAGAUAGCCGAUGGGAAAAACUGCACGUUAUGAUAAAAAACAAAAACUAAGAGUGGAAAUACCUUGUCCAAAAAUUGUGAAAGAAUAUAACAUGCAUAUGGGUGGUGUGGACCUAAUGGAUAGCUAUUUAGGCCGCUAUAGCGUCAGGGUCAAGAGCCGUAAAUGGGACUUACGAUUAUUUUAUCACGUUUUGAACUUGGCCGUAAUAAAUUCCUGGAUCUUAAUGAAGAAGAAUUGCAUUGCAAAGGGUGUUCCUCAGAAACAACUAUCGAAUCUUGGUCAAUUUCGCAAUGAAUUAGCUGAUGUCCUUUGCAAUAUUGGAUUAACUUACGGCAUCAAAAGAGGACGUCCAAGUAAUGCUUCCAUCGAAGAACAAUUACAAGCCAAGAAACGAAAAGGUACUAGUCAUCCUCUUCCAAGCGUAGAUGUAAGAAAAGAUGGCGUUGAUCACUGGCCUAUGAUUGCUACUCGUCUUAGGUGCAAAAUACCUAGUUGCAACGGGACAACAUCUUGGUCUUGCUCAAAAUGUAAUGUGCCUCUUUGUUUGAAUCCAAGAAAUAACUGUUUUACAUAUUUCCAUCAAUAAUAUUAUGUAGAAAACUCCAGUGAGUCUCAAACAUGUUCAUUAUUAUUAAACGGGUCACUUUGCCAAAAGUAGCUCAACCUGUUUAGGGUUUAUUUCGAAAAACUUAGUCAUGAGCAUUCGGCCGGAUUCAGAUUCGCAAAGCUACAUUGUUCUGUGAACGGGAAAGACAUAGGUAUAUAAUUAUUAAAUUUUCUGUUUGCCCAAAGGUUGACUGGUGGAGAAUGCUAUUUGGGGUGAAGUCUACCUGUUGUACGUUAAGUUAUUUGUUUUGUGCUAAUUUAAAUUUAAAUAAGAGAUACGAGAACAAAUGUAAUAAUAAAUUGCAGAUUAUAAUUUUACUGUUAAAUAUGUAAUCUUUAGCGUUUAGACGUUAAUGCAUAGUGAUGUAUAUAUGCAUCAAGUCUUUUUCGGAAAAAAUAUAUGUUUUUUUAAA